This 404-nucleotide ribosomal RNA is filed under the name Frankiaceae bacterium. RNAcentral describes it as "bacterial SSU rRNA". It matches the Rfam family "Bacterial small subunit ribosomal RNA", at positions 1 to 406 of the family's 1533-position model. Lineage: Bacteria; Bacillati; Actinomycetota; Actinomycetes; Frankiales; Frankiaceae. The record is from RNAcentral.
UUAUUGGAGAGUUUGAUCCUGGCUCAGGACGAACGCUGGCGGCGUGCUUAACACAUGCAAGUCGAGCGGUGAACCGGAGCUUGCUCCGGGGAUCAGCGGCGAACGGGUGAGUAACACGUGGGCAACCUGCCCUCAGCUCUGGGAUAACUCCGGGAAACCGGGGCUAAUACCGGAUACGACUUCCUGCGGCAUCUCGGGAAGUGGAAAGUUUUUCGGCUGAGGAUGGGCCCGCGGCCUAUCAGCUUGUUGGUGGGGUAAUGGCCCACCAAGGCGACGACGGGUAGCCGGCCUGAGAGGGCGACCGGCCACACUGGGACUGAGACACGGCCCAGACUCCUACGGGAGGCAGCAGUGGGGAAUAUUGCGCAAUGGGCGAAAGCCUGACGCAGCGACGCCGCGUGAGG